This 499-nucleotide unclassified non-coding RNA is filed under the name Hevea brasiliensis (rubber tree). Lineage: Eukaryota; Viridiplantae; Streptophyta; Magnoliopsida; Malpighiales; Euphorbiaceae. The record is from RNAcentral.
UGCCUUCUACAGGUAUAAGAUGCCGAGGAUGAUUACCAAGAUAGAGGGGCGUGGGAAUGGCAUCAAGACAAACAUCGUCAACAUGGUUGACGUUGCAAAAGCUCUAGCGCGGCCAGCAUCUUACACCACAAAACAUUUUGGGUGCGAGCUUGGAGCUCAGUCGAAGUUUGAUGAAAAAACUGGGACUUCCCUUGUCAAUGGAGCUCAUGAUACUGCCAAGCUUGCUGGUCUUCUUGAGAUUUUCAUCAAGAAAUAUGUUCAGUGCUAUGGGUGUGGAAACCCUGAAACUGAGAUCCUCAUCACUAAAACUCAGAUGAUCCAACUGAAGUGUGCUGCAUGUGGUUUUAUUUCUGAUGUGGACAUGAGAGACAAGCUGACAACCUUUAUUCUUAAAAACCCACCCGAGUCUAAGAAGGGAGCCAAAGACAAGAAAGCAAUGAGAAGAGCUGAAAAGGAGCGUCUAAAGGAAGGUGAAGCUGCUGAUGAAGAGCUGAAGAAG